CAAGCUCAUAGGGUUUAUUCCUCCGUCUAUCUUUAAUGCCUCGAGGUUGGAGACUUUAGAAAUAUCUGGCAAUUCACUUGAAGGGAACAUUCCAGAAGGGAUCGGCAAUCUUCACAACAUGAACUGGUUGUCCAUACAAGAUAAUCACCUUGAGGGUUCUAUACCAUUCUCCAUUUUCAAUAUUUCUAGAAUCGAAUUCAUUGCAUUUACAAACAAUUACUUAUCUGGAGAUCUUCCCAAUGGUUUAUGCAAUCGUCUUCCAAGACUUAAAGGUCUUUAUCUAUCCAAAAACAAGAUUCAUGGUCAUAUACCUACAAGCUUAUCAAAUUGUUCACAACUUCAACUGUUGUCUUUAUCAUAUAAUGAUUUUGAUGGACCAAUACAUAGUGAAAUUGGAAGAUUAACUAAUCUGCAGUUCUUGGUUCUCGGAUUUAACCAUUUAACUGGUAUGUUUGAUCUUAUGAAUGCUAGUACUAUUCUAUCAAAUUACUUCAGAAUUUUUUUUGAUUACAUAUUAACUGCAGGGAUAAUUCCAAAAGAAAUUGGAAAUCUUGUUAAUUUGGCGGAGUUAUGGGUGGAGAGCAACCAGCUUAACGGCUCUGUCCCAAUCUCCAUGUUCAAUAUCUCAUCGCUGCAAAUUUUGUCACUUUGGAGAAACAAUCUUAGUGGAUUCGUACCACGGGAGAUUGGCAACUUAACCAAGAUGCAACUUUUAUAUCUUAGCGAAAAUAGGCUUACUGGUACGUACGUAUUCAAAGUGAUUGCAAAGAAUACAACUUAUAUUAGAUUGAACUGACUAGUUAAUCCUUCUUUCGAUAAGUAUUUGCAGGUGAAAUACCCAAAGAGAUAAACAAUCUCACUGAGUUGGAGGAACUUACUCUUAGUUAUAAUAGAUUUAGUGGUACACUUGAUAUGGAAAUCUUCAACAUAUCAGGUUUGAGAAUAAUUUCACUUUCAACCAACAAUCUAUCUGGAAGCCUACCACCAAACAUAGGUUCUAUCUUACCAAACAUUGAAAAACUUUAUCUGCAUACCUUAACUAAUCUUGUUGGGACUAUUCCUAAUUACAUCUCCAACUGUUCAAAACUUACUGAUCUAGAGCUUUCAGACAACAAACUCAGUGGCUUGAUUCCCAAUUCUCUUGGAUAUUUGACUCAUCUACAGGUCCUACAAUUGAGCAGAAACAAUUUAACCAGUGACUCCUCGUUAAGCUUCUUCACUUCCUUAACCAAUUGCAGAAAUUUAACAUCUCUUGAUAUAUCUUCGAACCCCCUAAAGGGCAUGCUUCCAGCCUCCCUGGGGAACUUCUCCACAUCUCUUGUAGAUUUUUACACAGACGGUUGCAAAAUAGAAGGGCAAAUUCCAAAUGAAGUUGGGUACUUAAGCAGCUUAGUAGACCUUGAUCUUUCUGGAAAUAACUUGGCUGGAUUGAUUCCCACAUCAUUUGGCAACUUGACAAACCUUCAGCGUUUCUACUUGAGUAACAACAAAUUUACAGGAUUUAUUGGAGAUAAUCUUUGUAAAUUUCAGCGACUGGGUGCUAUUUACUUGGGUCAAAAUCAACUUUCAGGAUCUCUUCCGAAUUGUUUGAAUCAAAGUGUGAUUUCACAAACUAAAUGUCUUUGAAAGGUUCACUGCUUUUCUUUGGUUUUUGUAUUUCUUUCGUCACUUUUUUCAUAUACAGAGGAAGAAUGAACUUCAAAUAUAUUGGGGAAGGGAAACAGUUUAUGUUUGUAACUGUUCUCCCAAGUUUCAAAAAUGCAACAUUAUCUCUUUCUUUUCAACUUUUUUCCAGAUAAUCUAAAAACAAAAAUCGGGUCAAGUCAGGUCGGUCCAGCGACCCAUAACCCAUAAACCAACAAAAACGUUCAGCCAUUUUGAAGUAACCACUCCAGAAAUUGUACACUUACAUAUUGAGCAUCUUUACACUUGAUUAUAAAAAUAUUGGACCACUCCUUUCCAAGUCAAACACUAACUAUACUUCUUUCUUGGUCUACCACUUAAAAGUUUUUUUCCAAGACACACGCUAACUAUAUGUCAUCUAACAUUUAAUGACAUCGGCGGAUUUCGGAUUAGAAUUUUAUGGGUUUAAUCUUUGAAGGUUUUAGUAUUGAACCUAUUGUAAUUGUAAAACUAUGAGUUUAAACUUAUUCUUUGGUGCAAUUUAAUAAAGUUUUAUAGAUAAAUUUAUCUUUGCAUCAAAAAUACUGGAUUCAAAUGAACACGAUAUUUCUGUGAUGCAUCCUCCACUAAUAAUGGAAAUCAUUGUUUUGCUUGUCAUGGCCGAGAAUUUUAAUGGAGCUGUGCACAAAUAACUUUUGCUAAAGUUGUGGCUAUUAACUAACUCACCUCAUCACAUGCUCUACAUAACUGAAAAAUUCAAUGGACAUCCCUUUCCUAUUUAAAGUUUCAAAACAACAAUGUUAUUGGCCAUAACAAGUUCCUUCUAAUUUAUGCAAGCAUGGACAAAGCAUUCGCCUUUUUACUCUUAACAUUCGUGCUACUUCACUAUGUUAUGGCUAGUUCGGCCGCGACAAAAACCAACAUUUCCACCGAUCAAUUGACUCUUUUUUCUUUGAAAUCCCAAAUCAUUUCAGACCCCUUUCACUUAUUGGAUGAAAGUUGGUCCCCAGCUACUUUUGUUUGUCAUUGGGUCGGAAUCACUUGUAGCUCUCGUCAUCAGAGAGUGAAAUCUUUAAAUCUUUCAAACAUGGCUCUUACAGGCAUAAUUCCUCGGGAAUUUGGAAACCUGACAUUUCUUGUUUCUCUUGACUUGGGAAACAACAAUUUCAAGGGAAAUUUACCUCAAGAAAUGGCACGCUUGCAUCGGCUUAAGUUUCUUGAUUUAAGUUUCAACAGCUUCAGAGGGGAUGUUCCUUAUUGGCUUGGGUUUUUACACCAACUUCAAUUUCUAAGUCUUGGAAAUAAUAGUUUCACUGGUUCCAUUCCUGCAUCAUUUUCUAAUAUUUCCACACUCGAGACUUUGAAUCUGAAUUUCAAUUUCAUAGAGGGCCAAAUACCAAAAGUGAUUGGAAGUCUUAUAAACCUUAGAGAACUAAACUUGAUGGGUAACAAGCUCAUAGGGUUUAUUCCUCCGUCUAUCUUUAAUGCCUCGAGGUUGGAGACUUUAGAAAUAUCUGGCAAUUCACUUGAAGGGAACAUUCCAGAAGGGAUCGGCAAUCUUCACAACAUGAACUGGUUGUCCAUACAAGAUAAUCACCUUGAGGGUUCUAUACCAUUCUCCAUUUUCAAUAUUUCUAGAAUCGAAUUCAUUGCAUUUACAAACAAUUACUUAUCUGGAGAUCUUCCCAAUGGUUUAUGCAAUCGUCUUCCAAGACUUAAAGGUCUUUAUCUAUCCAAAAACAAG
RNAcentral lists this long non-coding RNA (3367 nucleotides) under Capsicum annuum. RNAcentral's name for it is "long non-coding RNA (CANN_LNC019782)". The record is from RNAcentral. Lineage: Eukaryota; Viridiplantae; Streptophyta; Magnoliopsida; Solanales; Solanaceae.